RNAcentral lists this ribosomal RNA (229 nucleotides) under uncultured bacterium. RNAcentral's name for it is "partial 16S ribosomal RNA". It matches the Rfam family "Bacterial small subunit ribosomal RNA", at positions 93 to 339 of the family's 1533-position model. The record is from RNAcentral.
CCUCGGCAAACGGGUUAGUAAUACAUAGGAAUCUGCCCCUAAGUCAUGAAUAAUCCGGAGAAAUCCGGAAUAAUACAUGAUGUGCUCUACGGAGUAAAGAUUUAUCGCUUAGGGAGGAGCCUGUGUCCUAUCAGCUUGUUGGUAGUGUAAUAGACUACCAAGGCUAUGACGGGUAGGGGGCGUGAGAGCGUGACCCCCAACAUUGGAAUUGAGACACUGUCCAAACUCC